This is a non-coding RNA of Hydra vulgaris (swiftwater hydra), 1918 nucleotides long. Lineage: Eukaryota; Metazoa; Cnidaria; Hydrozoa; Anthoathecata; Hydridae. The record is from RefSeq and is a predicted model, not a curated record.
GUAAGCAUUUCCUACCAUUUCUAUUUAUAAUUUUUUUAUUUAUUUAGACUUAAAUUAAAAGAAAAUUUUCCAGAGUUGUGAUAUAUCAUAAUUCAGUCGUUGAACAGAUGAAAUUGUAGAGGUUUCUAUCAUAUAUAUAUUUAAAAUUUGAAACUGCGUUUGAUUUUGUUUACUUAAAGAAUCAUAUUAAGAUAAAUAAUCAUCGUUAAGAUCAUAUUAUAAUUGAAGUAAGUGUAGAAAUUAGUUUAGCAAUUUAUAUAUAACAUUUUUAUUAGAAAUUAAGUAGAAGGAAUCACUCCUUUUAUUUUUGUAAAUCAUUUACAUUUUGUUUGUUUUAGAUUUUCUUUUGGCUUUAUUUUUUUCUAGCAGUUUUGUUUUUAUUGAGCAUAUCUUCUAUUUUUUAGAAGGAAGGUAGAUUUAUGGAUGAGGUCUAUUUAUUUUUUAUGCAACAAAAAAGUUAUACUAAUGCUAUUUCAAUAAAAUUGUUUGUUACUACCAUGAAAUUUCUGUGAUGCUAUUAACUGUUUUUGCUCUUUUUUAUAAAAUUUAGAAAAAUGAAUUAAAAUUUCGUGCCAACACUGACAUGUUAUUGUAUGUAAAGAUUAAAUUUUUGUUAUGAGAAUUACAGUUCUUAUGAAAAAAAGUGCUGUGAAUUGGUAAACGUGUAAAGCAAGAUUUGUCAACCUUGCCUGCCAAGUCACUUACUGCAAAGGGUUACAAAGCAGUGUUUCGUGUCAAACUGUUACAGCUUUAGGUCUAGGUGUUUUCAAGCCUUGAUUAAUAAUUACUCUGAAAAUACAUAAUGUAUUUUAAUAACAUUUUGCGUAAUGUUGUUACUGAUAUUCUGUUAUAUAUGAAUGUUAUGUUUCUUAAGUAAUGUUAUAUGCAUAUUAUAUGAACUUAUGGUGAAUGCUAUUGUUGUUGUGAUGUUGUUUUUUUGUAAUCUUUUGAGUUGAUAUACAUUUGGUUUACCUUCAAGUUGUUGUCUACUGUUAAAAAUUAUACAUAGUUAAUUUCAUUAUUAGACCUCACUGCAUUUAAUCAUUCACUAAAAUUAAUAUUUAGAUUCACUAAAAGCCUACUACUACUACUAUUACUACUACUACUACUACUACUACUACUACUACUACUACUACUACUACUACUACUACUACUACUACUACUACUACUACUUCUGCUACUACUACUCUGGCAAAUCACAUCAGCUUUAUCAGAAUUCAGAAAAAUGAAUUAAACUACAAUUUUUGAACAGUCAUUGUUUGUGAAGAUUGUUGCGCUCUUCAAACUACUAUAUUAGUAAAGAUAGUGCUGAUAAAUUCUUGGCUUUAAAAAUUGACAAUUAUUGCUACACUAUAAACAGUGAUUUGUUACCUUUGCAAAACAAAACUUCUAAAAAGAUUUCUAUGCCCUAUGACUCCAAUGAUUUGGGAACAUUUUUCUGACAAAAAUCUACAAAAGGCCCAGCAAGAACAUGUUCUAUCUUUAUUGUUGGCAAAUAAAGUUGAUGAAAUAUUACACUGAUGUUACUGCUUUUGAAACUUAGUUAUUCUUGCUCUAUCAAAAAGAAUUGAUGAAAUCUUGCAAAAAAAAAAUUUCAAGAAUAUUUAAAUAAAAAUAUACUAUUGACUAGUGGUCGAUGAGUUCAAGAUACAUGCAAAGUACAGUUUAAAGUUCUUUUCAACUCAACACAAUAUGGCGUUCACAGUAGAUCAGGAUGCGAAAUAAUUAGCACAGAUUUACAGACGAUUAAAGAGGUUUUAUACGUUAUUGUUACCAUUUACUAUUUGUUAGAUCUAUCGUAGCCAUUUUCUUUUUCACAGCUGAUAGGCCUUUUCCAGAAGAUGUUGCUAAAUGAAAGCUUUGAAAAAAAAUCAAAGACUUUCUCUUAUAUUAAACAGUUAACUUAAUUUUUUAAAUG